Molecule: unclassified non-coding RNA, 336 nt
Filed under: soil metagenome
Description: partial contains 5.8S ribosomal RNA, internal transcribed spacer 2, and large subunit ribosomal RNA
Rfam family: 5.8S ribosomal RNA (bases 1-120)
Source: RNAcentral
GAUGAAGAACGUAGCGAAAUGCGAUAAGUAAUGUGAAUUGCAGAAUUCAGUGAAUCAUCGAAUGUUUGAACGCACAUUGCGCCCGCCAGUAUUCUGGCGGGCAUGCCUGUUCGAGCGUCAUUUCAACCAUCAAGCCCCAGGCUUGUGUUGGGGACCUGCGGCUGCCGCAGGCCCUGAAAACCAGUGGCGGGCUCGCUGUCACACCGGGCGUAGUAGAUUUUAUCUCGCUCAGGGCGUGCUGCGGGUCCCGGCCGUUAAAAGCCUUUUUUUACCCAAGGUUGACCUCGGAUCAGGUAGGAAGACCCGCUGAACUUAAGCAUAUCAAUAAGCGGAGGA